RNAcentral lists this ribosomal RNA (393 nucleotides) under uncultured bacterium. RNAcentral's name for it is "partial 16S ribosomal RNA". It matches the Rfam family "Bacterial small subunit ribosomal RNA", at positions 523 to 918 of the family's 1533-position model. The record is from RNAcentral.
AUACGGAGGAUGCGAGCGUUAUCCGGAUUUAUUGGGUUUAAAGGGAGCGUAGGUGGGAUAUUAAGUCAGCUGUGAAAGUUUGGGGCUCAACCUUAAAAUUGCAGUUGGUACUGGUUUCCUUGAGUACGGUACAGGUGGGCGGAAUUCGUGGUGUAGCGGUGAAAUGCUUAGAUAUCACGAAGAACUCCGAUCGCGAAGGCAGCUCACCGGGCCGGAACUGACACUGAUGCUCGAAAGUGCGGGUAUCAAACAGGAUUAGAUACCCUGGUAGUCCGCACAGUAAACGAUGAAUACUCGCUGUUUGCGAUACACUGUAAGCGGCCAAGCGAAAGCGUUAAGUAUUCCACCUGGGGAGUACGCCGGCAACGGUGAAACUCAAAGGAAUUGACGGGG